GAUAACUACUGGAAACGGUAGCUAAUACCGCAUAAUGUCGCAAGACCAAAGAGGGGGACCUUCGGGCCUCCUGCCAUCGGAUGUGCCCAGAUGGGAUUAGCUUGUUGGUGGGGUAACGGCUCACCAAGGCGACGAUCCCUAGCUGGUCUGAGAGGAUGACCAGCCACACUGGAACUGAGACACGGUCCAGACUCCUACGGGAGGCAGCAUG
Molecule: ribosomal RNA, 211 nt
Filed under: uncultured bacterium
Lineage: Bacteria
Description: partial 16S ribosomal RNA
Rfam family: Bacterial small subunit ribosomal RNA
Source: RNAcentral